AUGGUAUCUGCACUCCAUGAACAAGAUGUGACUGAUAGUUCCAGUUAUUUCACAGACUCCAGUCAGCAAGGUAUAUGUUCUAGAGUGACAAUGCACUCAUACUUUGACAUGAACUUUUCAACUGCCUACGUCAGUGACACAGCCACUGCUAAGUCAAAUAUGUCAUGCUACACAACAGAUUCAUGCAACUAUACAUGUACAUCUACCGUCCCACAAGCUUGCCAUCUUCUGCCACUUAAUAUAUUCACUAAAGUUGGGUUGGUACAAUGUCCUGCUGUGUCCAUGUGCUCAAGCUUUGAGGUAGAUCCAAGUAGUUGUGUUGCCCAGUCAAAUGACAAGUCCACAAAAUGUUAUGGGGAGAAGUACAUUUCUCGAAUUGAAAGUCAGUUAAAAGAAUCUGAAAUUCAGCCCCCGUUCGAUAUAAUUGGUGACAAUUUGGACAUUCUUAAAUCGACUUCUUCUAUGACAAAAGAAAAUCAAAGGAAAAGUUUUCACUGGUUUAUCUUAGUUGGUUUACAACGAAGAGAGCUAGAUUCAACUAUGCUGGAUGAUAAACCCAAGCAUGACAUUUUAUCACUACCAAACCAUUCAUUUUUACCCAAUGCCCAAGACAUCAAUAUUUUGGAAAGAAACAUGAACCAUCAUAUACAGAAGGUUAUCACAAGACAUGUUAAAUGCUUAAAGUCUUUUGCUCAUUGUGUUCCAAAACACAUCGAUCAUCCUUUCAUGGAGGAAACCUCAAAAAAGUCAACUCAUUUCAUACUUGAUUUGCUUGACAAAAAUGAAAAUUUGCAUGAUGACAUAAUUAGCAUAUUGGAGCACAUUCAUCAGAAGUAUAUAGCACAUACUCUUGGGGAAAAAGCAGAAGUUUUAGAAAGGAAAGUAUUUGGUGGUGAUGUGCUUACUAAUGAGCGAGCAUACACAGCACAACUCGCAAUGCAGAACUGUGAAACAGAUUAUUACAAACUGGGAGGACUUAUUCACAGACCAGAGGGCCUUCACAGAAUGAUGAACUUUUUGCUGGUAUUCCCCUUGGUUGAUAUUCUGUUCCUGUUCUAAGAAUUGGUUCAGUUCCUGUUUUGGAGUUGUUGGUUAUUUGGAUGGUUUCUGCUUGUGUUUGUUACUCUUGUAAGUGUUCCAUUAUCAUUAUUUUAUUACAAGUUAGAUGAAUUACUGUAGAAUUAUUAUUAUUUGUGAUUUCAAGAUUUUUGGAUACUCACCUGUGAAUUUACAUCCUUGAUAAAUGAAUUUAUUAUUCAUUUUUAAACAAGAUAGUAAAAAUUCUAUGAGCCUCAAGUUUAAUAUAAAAAAUACAAUGAAUUAAAAAAAAAAUAACCCCCACACAUAUAAGUGAUUCCACAGUCAAAAUGCAUAGGUAUUGAAAAUGGAUGCUGGUAGUUUAGCCACCACUUUUUUUAUUAAACACUUUACUUUAAUCCAUUAUAUACAAUUUCCCAAGUGUUAUGCAAUGCCUUAGUAUGAUGCUUCAGGUUUGUUUGCAUGAAAUUUGAAAUUUAACUAACAUUGCAUAUUGUUCACAAAUUAAAGCCUACUAACAGUUGAAGUGAAAGAAUUUGUAAUGUUUGAAUUGUCAAAUUUACUUCAAAAGAAUCAACUAUUUUUUUUUCUAUGGCACAUCAAUCAUAAAAAGUAAAAAUCUGAUGAAUUAUGUUUUCUAAAAAGGCAUACUUUGUUAAUAUAUAUAUUUCAUAUCAGUAGUCAGUACAUGUAUAUCGGGGAUAUUAUUUAAUAUUUUUGCAAUUCAUUUUAUUAAUCUGAUACAUGUAUCAAUAAUUGCUCUUGUAUUUUCUUGACUAGUUUAUAUACCAGGAGUUCUACAAACCAUCCUCUGCAUUUGAACAAGGAACACUCUAUCAACUUCGAAAUGUCAUUCACAGAGUGGAUGUUACUGGAAAAGAUAAAGUUGUUGAAGCAUACAGAGCUCAUUAUGCUUUUGUGGAGGAUGC
RNA transcript from Magallana angulata, 1967 nucleotides. RefSeq lists it as uncharacterized. The record is from RefSeq and is a predicted model, not a curated record. The transcript has 2 exons. Lineage: Eukaryota; Metazoa; Mollusca; Bivalvia; Ostreida; Ostreidae.